GGCUCAGGAUGAACGCUGGCGGCGUGCUUAACACAUGCAAGUCGAACGGUGAAGCAGAGCUUGCUCUGUGGAUCAGUGGCGAACGGGUGAGUAACACGUGAGCAAUCUGCCCCUGACUCUGGGAUAAGCGCUGGAAACGGCGUCUAAUACCGGAUACGAGCUGCGAAGGCAUCUUCAGCAGCUGGAAAGAAUUUCGGUCAGGGAUGAGCUCGCGGCCUAUCAGCUUGUUGGUGAGGUAACGGCUCACCAAGGCGUCGACGGGUAGCCGGCCUGAGAGGGUGACCGGCCACACUGGGACUGAGACACGGCCCAGACUCCUACGGGAGGCAGCAGUGGGGAAUAUUGCACAAUGGGCGAAAGCCUGAUGCAGCAACGCCGCGUGAGGGACGACGGCCUUCGGGUUGUAAACCUCUUUUAGCAGGAAAGAAGCGAAAGUGACGGUACCUGCAGAAAAAGCGCCGGCUAACUACGUGCCAGCAGCCGCGGUAAUACGUAGGGCGCAAGCGUUAUCCGGAAUUAUUGGGCGUAAAGAGCUCGUAGGCGGUCUGUCGCGUCUGCUGUGAAAACCCGAGGCUCAACCUCGGGCCUGCAGUGGGUACGGGCAGACUAGAGUGCGGUAGGGGAGAUUGGAAUUCCUGGUGUAGCGGUGGAAUGCGCAGAUAUCAGGAGGAACACCGAUGGCGAAGGCAGAUCUCUGGGCCGUAACUGACGCUGAGGAGCGAAAGGGUGGGGAGCAAACAGGCUUAGAUACCCUGGUAGUCCACCCCGUAAACGUUGGGAACUAGUUGUGGGGUCCAUUCCACGGAUUCCGUGACGCAGCUAACGCAUUAAGUUCCCCGCCUGGGGAGUACGGCCGCAAGGCUAAAACU
Molecule: ribosomal RNA, 869 nt
Filed under: uncultured Actinomycetes bacterium
Lineage: Bacteria; Bacillati; Actinomycetota; Actinomycetes
Description: SSU rRNA
Rfam family: Bacterial small subunit ribosomal RNA
Source: RNAcentral